UAGGGAAUAUUGCACAAUGGAGGAAACUCUGAUGCAGCGACGCCGCGUGAGUGAUGAAGGCCUUCGGGUCGUAAAGCUCUGUCGCAGGGGAAUAACACAAUGAAGGUACCCUGCAAGAAAGGAUCGGCUAACUUCGUGCCAGCAGCCGCGGUAAGACGAGGGAUCCUAGCGUUGUUCGGAAUUAUUGGGCGUAAAGCGGGUGUAGGUGGCUAUGCAAGUCAGACGUGAAAGCCCAGGGCUCAACCCUGGAAGUGCGUUUGAAACUGCGUAGCUUGAGUGCCGGAUAGGUUACUAGAAUUCUUGGUGUAGUGGUGAAAUACGUAGAUAUCAAGAGGAAUACCAGAGGCGAAGGCGGGUAACUGGCCGGACACUGACACUCAGACCCGAAAGUGCGGGGAUCAAACAG
Molecule: ribosomal RNA, 406 nt
Filed under: uncultured organism
Description: bacterial SSU rRNA
Rfam family: Bacterial small subunit ribosomal RNA
Source: RNAcentral